GGAUAAGAGAGUGAUCUAGCUGUGACAUCUGUCACCCUGGGCUGACUUGGCUGUUCUAGCUGACUAGGCAGGCAACCCUUUCCUCCCUCAAUGCUCCAUGUGUGUCCCUCACAAAGUGGAGCGCUCAGAUAGCCAUCCUCUGACAGAGGAGGACCAUUCCAUAACCAAAGGUACAGGAGUUGCUGCACUUCCCUGCUAGAACCUCCAAAUAAGUUCUCAAAACUUAUCUUGCUAAAUAUAACAAAGGUUAUAAUCAAUCAGAUGCUAUGAUUU
Molecule: small nuclear RNA, 273 nt
Filed under: Octodon degus (degu)
Lineage: Eukaryota; Metazoa; Chordata; Mammalia; Rodentia; Octodontidae
Description: 7SK RNA (ENSODEG00000025759.1)
Rfam family: 7SK RNA
About the family: 7SK was discovered as an abundant small nuclear RNA in the mid-70s but a possible function has only recently been suggested.
Source: RNAcentral